Molecule: ribosomal RNA, 255 nt
Filed under: uncultured bacterium
Lineage: Bacteria
Description: partial 16S ribosomal RNA
Rfam family: Bacterial small subunit ribosomal RNA
Source: RNAcentral
UACGUAGGGUGCAAGCGUUGUCCGGAAUUAUUGGGCGUAAAGAGCUCGUAGGCGGUUUGUCGCGUCUGCCGUGAAAGUCCGGGGGCUCAACUCCGGAUCUGCGGUGGGUACGGGCAGACUAGAGUGAUGUAGGGGGAGACUGGAAUUCCUGGUGUAGCGGUGAAAUGCGCAGAUAUCAGGAGGAACACCGAUGGCGAAGGCAGGUCUCUGGGCAUUAACUGACGCUGAGGAGCGAAAGCAUGGGGAGCGAACAGG